RNAcentral lists this ribosomal RNA (1368 nucleotides) under Escherichia coli. RNAcentral's name for it is "partial 23S ribosomal RNA". It matches the Rfam family "Bacterial large subunit ribosomal RNA", at positions 139 to 1551 of the family's 2925-position model. Lineage: Bacteria; Pseudomonadati; Pseudomonadota; Gammaproteobacteria; Enterobacterales; Enterobacteriaceae. The record is from RNAcentral.
UUCGACACACUAUCAUUAACUGAAUCCAUAGGUUAAUGAGGCGAACCGGGGGAACUGAAACAUCUAAGUACCCCGAGGAAAAGAAAUCAACCGAGAUUCCCCCAGUAGCGGCGAGCGAACGGGGAGGAGCCCAGAGCCUGAAUCAGUGUGUGUGUUAGUGGAAGCGUCUGGAAAGGCGUGCGAUACAGGGUGACAGCCCCGUACACAAAAAUGCACAUAUUGUGAGCUCGAUGAGUAGGGCGGGACACGUGGUAUCCUGUCUGAAUAUGGGGGGACCAUCCUCCAAGGCUAAAUACUCCUGACUGACCGAUAGUGAACCAGUACCGUGAGGGAAAGGCGAAAAGAACCCCGGCGAGGGGAGUGAAAAAGAACCUGAAACCGUGUACGUACAAGCAGUGGGAGCCUCUUAAUGGGGUGACUGCGUACCUUUUGUAUAAUGGGUCAGCGACUUAUAUUCUGUAGCAAGGUUAACCGAAUAGGGGAGCCGAAGGGAAACCGAGUCUUAACUGGGCGUUAAGUUGCAGGGUAUAGACCCGAAACCCGGUGAUCUAGCCAUGGGCAGGUUGAAGGUUGGGUAACACUAACUGGAGGACCGAACCGACUAAUGUUGAAAAAUUAGCGGAUGACUUGUGGCUGGGGGUGAAAGGCCAAUCAAACCGGGAGAUAGCUGGUUCUCCCCGAAAGCUAUUUAGGUAGCGCCUCGUGAAUUCAUCUCCGGGGGUAGAGCACUGUUUCGGCAAGGGGGUCAUCCCGACUUACCAACCCGAUGCAAACUGCGAAUACCGGAGAAUGUUAUCACGGGAGACACACGGCGGGUGCUAACGUCCGUCGUGAAGAGGGAAACAACCCAGACCGCCAGCUAAGGUCCCAAAGUCAUGGUUAAGUGGGAAACGAUGUGGGAAGGCCCAGACAGCCAGGAUGUUGGCUUAGAAGCAGCCAUCAUUUAAAGAAAGCGUAAUAGCUCACUGGUCGAGUCGGCCUGCGCGGAAGAUGUAACGGGGCUAAACCAUGCACCGAAGCUGCGGCAGCGACACUAUGUGUUGUUGGGUAGGGGAGCGUUCUGUAAGCCUGUGAAGGUGGCCUGUGAGGGUUGCUGGAGGUAUCAGAAGUGCGAAUGCUGACAUAAGUAACGAUAAAGCGGGUGAAAAGCCCGCUCGCCGGAAGACCAAGGGUUCCUGUCCAACGUUAAUCGGGGCAGGGUGAGUCGACCCCUAAGGCGAGGCCGAAAGGCGUAGUCGAUGGGAAACAGGUUAAUAUUCCUGUACUUGGUGUUACUGCGAAGGGGGGACGGAGAAGGCUAUGUUGGCCGGGCGACGGUUGUCCCGGUUUAAGCGUGUAGGCUGGUUUUCCAGGCAAAUCCGGAAAACC